CGUCGAAACCACCAUGCCCAGAGAUCUCGAUCUCUGUGAUUUGUAGGUUAUCAUGGUGAGGUGUCAAUCACUGCUUAUGGUGAGAAGAAACCUGACAGUCUGGAUGAUGUAAUCGACUUCGAACCCAAAAGGGGUAAGAGUGAGAGACUAAACAAGAUGUUAGUGGAAAUUGCAUUUUGGUCAGUGGAAAAUCCUGCUCCCCAUUAU
Molecule: RNA transcript, 207 nt
Organism: Arabidopsis thaliana (thale cress)
Lineage: Eukaryota; Viridiplantae; Streptophyta; Magnoliopsida; Brassicales; Brassicaceae
Exons: 2
Source: RefSeq